RNAcentral lists this ribosomal RNA (407 nucleotides) under uncultured bacterium. Its description in RNAcentral is "partial 16S ribosomal RNA". It matches the Rfam family "Bacterial small subunit ribosomal RNA", at positions 30 to 526 of the family's 1533-position model. The record is from RNAcentral.
AUUGAACGCUGGCGGCAGGCCUAACACAUGCAAGUCGAGCGGAGCUGCCGACGGGUGAGUAAUUCAUAGGAAUCUACCUGGUCGUGGGGGAUAACGUACGGAAACGGGCGCUAAUACCGCAUACUCUCAGUUGAGCCUAGGUCGGAUUAGCUAGUUGGUGGGGUAAAGGCCUACCAAGGCGACGAUCCGUAACUGGUCUGAGAGGAUGAUCAGUCAAACUGGAACUGAGACACGGUCCAGACUCCUACGGGAGGCAGCAGUGGGGAAUAGUGGACAAUGGGCGAAAGCCUGAUCCAGCAAUGCCGCGUGGGUGAAGAAGGUCUUCGGAUUGUAAAGCACUUUAAGUUGGGAGGCGUUACCAACAGAAUAAGCACCGGCUAACUUCGUGCCAGCCGCCGCGGUAAUUC